CAUGCAAGUCGAGCGGCAGCACGGGAGCUUGCUCCUGGUGGCGAGCGGCGGACGGGUGAGUAAUGCCUAGGAAUCUGCCUGAUAGUGGGGGAUAACGUUCGGAAACGGACGCUAAUACCGCAUACGUCCUACGGGAGAAAGUGGGGGACCUUCGGGCCUCACGCUAUCAGAUGAGCCUAGGUCGGAUUAGCUAGUUGGUGGGGUAAUGGCUCACCAAGGCGACGAUCCGUAACUGGUCUGAGAGGAUGAUCAGUCACACUGGAACUGAGACACGGUCCAGACUCCUACGGGAGGCAGCAGUGGGGAAUAUUGGACAAUGGGCGCAAGCCUGAUCCAGCCAUGCCGCGUGUGUGAAGAAGGUCUUCGGAUUGUAAAGCACUUUAAGUUGGGAGGAAGGGCUGUGCACGAAUACUGUGCAGUUUUGACGUUACCGACAGAAUAAGCACCGGCUAACUCUGUGCCAGCAGCCGCGGUAAUACAGAGGGUGCAAGCGUUAAUCGGAAUUACUGGGCGUAAAGCGCGCGUAGGUGGUUCGCCAAGUUG
RNAcentral lists this ribosomal RNA (543 nucleotides) under Pseudomonas sp. Z4S-238. RNAcentral's name for it is "bacterial SSU rRNA". It matches the Rfam family "Bacterial small subunit ribosomal RNA", at positions 54 to 590 of the family's 1533-position model. Lineage: Bacteria; Pseudomonadati; Pseudomonadota; Gammaproteobacteria; Pseudomonadales; Pseudomonadaceae. The record is from RNAcentral.